UGAGUAACACGUGGGUAACCUACCUAUAAGACUGGGAUAACUUCGGGAAACCGGAGCUAAUACCGGAUAAUAUUUCGAACCGCAUGGUUCGAUAGUGAAAGAUGGCUUUGCUAUCACUUAUAGAUGGACCUGCGCCGUAUUAGCUAGUUGGUAAGGUAACGGCUUACCAAGGCAACGAUACGUAGCCGACCUGAGAGGGUGAUCGGCCACACUGGAACUGAGACACGGUCCAGACUCCUACGGGAGGCAGCAGUAGGGAAUCUUCCGCAAUGGGCGAAAGCCUGACGGAGCAACGCCGCGUGAGUGAUGAAGGUCUUCGGAUCGUAAAACUCUGUUAUUAGGGAAGAACAAACGUGUAAGUAACUGUGCACGUCUUGACGGUACCUAAUCAGAAAGCCACGGCUAACUACGUGCCAGCAGCCGCGGUAAUACGUAGGUGGCAAGCGUUAUCCGGAAUUAUUGGGCGUAAAGCGCGCGUAGGCGGUUUUUUAAGUCUGAUGUGAAAGCCCACGGCUCAACCGUGGAGGGUCAUUGGAAACUGGAAAACUUGAGUGCAGAAGAGGAAAGUGGAAUUCCAUGUGUAGCGGUGAAAUGCGCAGAGAUAUGGAGGAACACCAGUGGCGAAGGCGACUUUCUGGUCUGUAACUGACGCUGAUGUGCGAAAGCGUGGGGAUCAAACAGGAUUAGAUACCCUGGUAGUCCACGCCGUAAA
RNAcentral lists this ribosomal RNA (712 nucleotides) under Staphylococcus hominis. RNAcentral describes it as "bacterial SSU rRNA". It matches the Rfam family "Bacterial small subunit ribosomal RNA", at positions 107 to 806 of the family's 1533-position model. The record is from RNAcentral. Lineage: Bacteria; Bacillati; Bacillota; Bacilli; Caryophanales; Staphylococcaceae.